CCUACGGGAGGCAGCAGUGGGGAAUAUUGCACAAUGGGGGAAACCCUGAUGCAGCGACGCCGCGUGAGUGAAGAAGUAUUUCGGUAUGUAAAGCUCUAUCAGCAGGGAAGAAAAUGACGGUACCUGAGUAAGAAGCCCCGGCUAACUACGUGCCAGCAGCCGCGGUAAUACGUAGGGGGCAAGCGUUAUCCGGAUUUACUGGGGGUAAAGGGAGCGUAGACGGCAGCACAAGUCUGGAGUGAAAUGCCGGGGCUUAACCCCGGGACUGCUUUGGAAACUGGGCAACUAGAGUGCAGGAGAGGUGAGUGGAAUUCCUAGUGUAGCGGUGAAAUGCGUAGAUAUUAGGAGGAACACCAGUGGCGAAGGCGGCUUACUGGACUGUAACUGACGUUGAGGCUCGAAAGCGUGGGGAGCAAACAGGAUUAGAUACCCGAGUAGUC
Molecule: ribosomal RNA, 440 nt
Filed under: uncultured bacterium
Lineage: Bacteria
Description: partial 16S ribosomal RNA
Rfam family: Bacterial small subunit ribosomal RNA
Source: RNAcentral